Molecule: long non-coding RNA, 332 nt
Filed under: Callithrix jacchus (white-tufted-ear marmoset)
Lineage: Eukaryota; Metazoa; Chordata; Mammalia; Primates; Cebidae
Description: lncRNA (ENSCJAG00000078445.1)
Source: RNAcentral
UCACUAUUGGUGUUAUUAUUUCUUGCAGCCACACAAGGGAGCUUUUGGAGAUUCAUUCUACACACAUCAAUAGGUACCAUUUGUUAUCACUGCUGGCAUAACAUUGUUUUACACUUUGAAACUCCCAGUUGUGAUUUCAAGCUCCUGUUAUUCCAACUGAAAAGAGACCAUAUGACAUUCUACAGAUGGCUGCAGGCAAGCAUCUAAAACCUUUGGGAGAAUACAGCAUACCAGGAAGAUUAUUAUUAUGAAUAUUUGGUGAAUAAUACCAAGAGUUUGGAGCUCCUUACUCAUGGUCCCCACAAGCCAAACCUCCUAGAAUCAAAUAGAAC